CCCUGCUAGAUAAAAAAAAAAGAAAACAGCUGGCAGCCAUGAGAUGGAAUUCCCCUCCCCUUCUACACUCCAUUUCAAUGCAAGGUCAACUCGAAAAAGUAAGGAAAUCUUUAAGUGUAAAUGCAUUUCUGAUACAUGGGACAUUAGUUGGUUGCUGGAAACUUGUGGGGAAUCCACAGUCAAUUAUCCUGACGUGGAAUUGGAUUUGCAUAGCCAUUUGACUACGUACACAAACAGCAAAAUCAUACUUUACUCAUACGGCCAUUUUCUAUGGGAAGGAUGAAAUCACUAUUCACAGUCAGCCCCGACAGUUGUGUUGCUGCUGCUUAGCAGGAGGGAGAGUGGAGAGUUCAGUGUGGUGCAAAUGCAGUGUUCCUGCUGGUGUGUUUUCACUAUGCUGACCUCCCACUAAGCGGCGACUCAACUGUCAGGAUGUCAAGUGAGCAUCUGCCACAGAGUGUGGCGGCUAUGGGGGCUUCCAUGCUGUUUCUAGCUGGGAUUCUGAUGCAAAAUUAGCAUUUGCUCUAUUUGUUCUUUAGAUGUCUGUUUGCACUUUACCUGCUCUGUUUUUAUGGUGAUAAACAUUACAAAAGACAUGGUAAAUCUACAAUGCUCAUUUCAUCCAAAAGAACUCUCUACUUGAGGAAGAUGAAUAUUUUGGAAGUUUAAGGCACGGCCACGUGCAUCAUCUAACUACAAUAACUACAGCAACCCUAUAAGGCAGGAGUGAGGAGCCUGUUUGGCUUGGUGGAUCAGAUCUUUAUCUCGCCGUCCACACUGAUGACGUCAGGCGAUUGAUAGGUAGGCUCACCUGUCAAAGUAGACCCACGGGGUGGAGGGAGGGACCUGAUUUGCCAGUUUGUUCCACACAGGGAACAUGCUGGGAAAGCAGCUCCAACAGGAUCAAACUCUUGGCUUGUCAGCUGAUGAAUGAAGACUUCCACCCUGCUUCUGCAGGUGCAGGGUUGCCGUAUUUCAAAAAGUAAAAACCAAGACACCCCAAAAGUUGACUUUCCUAAGUUCCAGGACAAAGCACCACCAAUUCCACCUUUGAAAUCCCAGUAACGUCCAGAAAAAUCUGGGCGUAUGGCAGCCCAAUGCAGAUGGCUGUUUUGCCAGCACCAAGUGGAAGGUGCAUCAUUCUAUUAUUACCCUGUAUUUUAGAUGGAGGUGAGAGAGACCGGCUUGAUGAAGGCUGCAGAGCAUAUCCGCUCCCCCCCCCCCCCAACAUUUCAAGAGGGAAAAUUGGAGCAACACACCAACACUGUCGCUCACCCACUUCCUCCCCUCCCUCCUCCCUCCAAUCGUUGUCCUCUGGCCUUCAGUGUUGCCGCCUCAGAAGAUGCUGUGCUGGUCCGCACAGCCUAGGGGAAGACACAGCCACCGCCUCUGCUGCUGGCACCAGCUUCCAAAAGUGCCGCAAAAGAAGGAGGAAGAAAAGUAGAAGGGGCAAGUUUAUUCCCGCCCCCCCGCCCGCUUUUUUCAGUGUUAACUAACUGACACGAGCCACAGUGUGGAACCAAAAGCCACCUGUCUUUUGGCCCUGCGUUCUGGCGUGGCCAGAGGACAGGAGCCAAAACAGGACAUCCCUGGAUUGGAAUUAGAAGCUGCUAGGGUGGCUUUUAUAAAUUUGGAAUGUUCCACUUGGAGGGCAUGGCAUAGUGAGUUCAUGGCAAACGAGAGAUUUGAACCUGACACUUUCCAACGCCAGCUCUCGCCUCAGUUGUAUUAAGGCUUGAAUAAAUGAAAAUCCUUGGGUAAAUUAAAUUAAACAUCACCCAUCUUCUUCAAAUACGUGAAAAUGGUGUUGUGGUAAGGAGAGAUCACACUGAACCAAUUAAUCAGUUUGGUAAUUGGCCUGGGCAGCGUAUUCAGGAAUGGAGCACUGACUCCUUGUGUGAUAGUGAUUUCCCCCCACCCCCACCGUUCAGGUCAUAUGACUGAUCACUAUCCUCUGACAUAGUUGUUUGUUCCAGUGUUGAGUUCCUGUGCAUUAUCUGCUGAUCUAGCCUUGGCUGUCUAGACCAAUUCUUUCUAGGAGAUUCCUGUUUACCUGAAGAGAUGUGGUGUUUGCAUCUCUUAUAAACAGGUGACCAAGGAAGUGUCAGUGCUACCACAAUGACCUUAGCACUGUUUCUUGCAGAGGUUACAAUGGCAUUGCAAACUUAAACCAGUUUUAUGCCUCUUUGACCAUCACUGUUUGCUGAAAGUAGGGUUGCCAACUUGUGAUUUCAUCCUCGUUUUCUAAAAUACUGAUAAUGACUUCUCUGGGCUCCUUCAGAGCAC
Non-coding RNA from Podarcis lilfordi (Lilford's wall lizard), 2286 nucleotides. NCBI's taxonomy places the organism in Eukaryota, Metazoa, Chordata, Lepidosauria, Squamata, Lacertidae. The record is from the annotation of a GenBank genome assembly.